GACGAACGCUGGCGGCGUGCUUAACACAUGCAAGUCGAACGGAAAGGCCCUGCUUGCAGGGUACUCGAGUGGCGAACGGGUGAGUAACACGUGGGUGAUCUGCCCUGCACUUCGGGAUAAGCCUGGGAAACUGGGUCUAAUACCGGAUAGGAGCCAUUUUUAGUGUGAUGGUUGGAAAGUUUUUUCGGUGUAGGAUGAGCUCGCGGCCUAUCAGCUUGUUGGUGGGGUAAUGGCCUACCAAGGCGGCGACGGGUAGCCGGCCUGAGAGGGUGGACGGCCACAUUGGGACUGAGAUACGGCCCAGACUCCUACGGGAGGCAGCCGUGGGGAAUAUUGCACAAUGGGCGCAAGCCUGAUGCAGCGACGCCGCGUGGGGGAUGACGGCCUUCGGGUUGUAAACUCCUUUCGCUAGGGACGAAGCUUUUUGUGACGGUACCUAGAUAAGAAGCACCGGCUAACUACGUG
Molecule: ribosomal RNA, 465 nt
Filed under: uncultured bacterium
Lineage: Bacteria
Description: partial 16S ribosomal RNA
Rfam family: Bacterial small subunit ribosomal RNA
Source: RNAcentral